AAUUGAUGCUUCCCGCUCAUGCUAGUGCUUCAAAUUGCCAAUGGGUCUAUGCCAUUAAUUACGGGGGUGGAAUUGUGUCUGGUGACAAUAUAAAAAUACAAGCCAGAAUAAAGGAUCAAUGCUGUGCCAUGAUUACUACACAGGCUUCUACAAAGGUUUAUCAUAGUGAAGAUGAACAAGUGAGUGUACAGAUUUUAGAAGGCAUUGCAGAGAGUGGAAGCACACUAGCUGUAUUACAAGAUCCUGUCACAUGCUUUGCUAAAGCUAGAUACAAGCAGACACAGAGCUUUGAUGUGAGUGAGGAUAGUAACUUAAUAUUAAUGGAUUGGCUUACAGCAGGGAGAAUCGCUAGAGGAGAAUGCUGGAAUUUUACAAGGUAUUUACUACUUCGUAAAAUAG
Molecule: long non-coding RNA, 399 nt
Organism: Lytechinus pictus (painted urchin)
Lineage: Eukaryota; Metazoa; Echinodermata; Echinoidea; Temnopleuroida; Toxopneustidae
Exons: 3
Source: RefSeq, a predicted model, not a curated record